Molecule: ribosomal RNA, 253 nt
Filed under: uncultured bacterium
Lineage: Bacteria
Description: partial 16S ribosomal RNA
Rfam family: Bacterial small subunit ribosomal RNA
Source: RNAcentral
GACGUAGGGCGCGAGCGUUGUCCGGAUUUAUUGGGCGUAAAGAGCUCGUAGGCGGUUUGUUGCGUCGGCUGUGAAAUCCCGAGGCUCAACCUCGGGUCUGCAGUCGAUACGAGCAAACUAGAGUGUUGCAGGGGAGACUGGAAUUCCUGGUGUAGCGGUGGAAUGCGCAGAUAUCAGGAGGAACACCGGUGGCGAAGGCGGGUCUCUGGGCAGUAACUGACGCUGAGGAGCGAAAGCGUGGGGAGCGAACAGG